Molecule: long non-coding RNA, 498 nt
Organism: Bombyx mori (domestic silkworm)
Lineage: Eukaryota; Metazoa; Arthropoda; Insecta; Lepidoptera; Bombycidae
Exons: 2
Source: RefSeq, a predicted model, not a curated record
AAUAUUUAAUCUAUUCUCAAUUUGACAACAGACGUCAAGAACAAAAGUUUGACAAUUAAUAGUAUGCAUGCGUGUGUACGUCAAAUACAUGAGUAUCUUCGCCCGGCGGCGUCACCCGCGGUACGACAAUAACUGCGGGUAACAUCGCGGGACUCAACUAUCAAUAAUAAAAUUUAAUGUUUCCGAAGCGAAGCGAGGGCGGGUCGCUAGUACAUAAAUAAAGGUAUUUGUUUUUUUAUAACGUGAUUAUUUUCUUAAAUUGUUGUAAAUGUGAGUUCGUCUGUUGUUAAGCAGCUACCUGAGUGUUAUUAAGACCUGUCACGUAACAAUGACUGUCAUUUUAUAUUAUACGAAUGCAUACUUGUGGACGGAAGCAAGCGGGAUGCCAGUCCUCACCCGUGACAGCUCGCAAUGUUCCCUACCGGGUCCUUGUAAUUGUUUUUGAUUCAUUAUUAAAUUAAUUGUAAUAUAAUUACUAUGUUUCGAAAUGAAUUAAAA